CCCUUAGAUGUUCGGGGCCGCACGCGCGCUACACUGAAGGAAUCAGCGUGCCGUCGUCCUGGCCCGGAAGGGCCGGGCAACCCGUUGAACCUCCUUCGUGCUAGGGAUCGGGGCUUGCAAUUCUUGCCCGUGAACGAGGAAUUCCCAGUAAGCGCGAGUCAUCAGCUCGUGUUGAUUACGUCCCUGCCCUUUGUACACACCGCCCGUCGCACCUACCGAUUGGAUGGUCCGGUGAAGCCUCGGGAUUGUGGUUCUUGCCGCUUUAUUGUGGCGUGACCGCGAGAACUUGUCUAAACCUUAUCAUCUAGAGGAAGGUGAAGUCGUAACA
Molecule: ribosomal RNA, 328 nt
Filed under: uncultured eukaryote
Lineage: Eukaryota
Description: partial 18S ribosomal RNA
Rfam family: Eukaryotic small subunit ribosomal RNA
Source: RNAcentral